This 99-nucleotide ribosomal RNA is filed under the name Sawadaea sp. MUMH609. RNAcentral describes it as "partial 28S ribosomal RNA". It matches the Rfam family "Eukaryotic large subunit ribosomal RNA", at positions 1 to 98 of the family's 3401-position model. The record is from RNAcentral. Lineage: Eukaryota; Fungi; Ascomycota; Leotiomycetes; Helotiales; Erysiphaceae.
UUGACCUCGGAUCAGGUAGGGAUACCCGCUGAACUUAAGCAUAUCAAUAAGCGGAGGAAAAGAAACCAACAGGGAUUACCUCAGUAACGGCGAGUGAAG